Molecule: long non-coding RNA, 2381 nt
Organism: Cydia pomonella (codling moth)
Lineage: Eukaryota; Metazoa; Arthropoda; Insecta; Lepidoptera; Tortricidae
Exons: 3
Source: RefSeq, a predicted model, not a curated record
UAUCUUUAACUUAUUUCGAUUUAUUAUACAAAAUUUAAAAUGCUCCUUACUCUUAUAAUAAUUAAAGAUUCGAAAAAAUCAAUCUAUCAUAUCUGUGGUUGAUGUACAACAAACUGUGUCAAAAUAUUUUUAAUAAUGUUAAUAUCUAGAGAGGAAAAUGACGACUAUGUUUGUAUGGAGACGCGGCCGUGGCUUAUCCUCUUAACUAAACAUUAUACAUUCAAAGUGAUGUUAUCAAAUGUGUAGUAAUAUAGUACACGUUUCGUGUACAAUGACACUUUGUCAAUAAUUUUAACAACGUGAGUGUGACAACCCUAGCGCUCGGCGGCAGGCGCAAGUCCGCGCGACACUACGUUAUCGCCUCCGCGGGCCAUACAGACAACGGUGACGAAUAGAAACGCACUAACUUUUUACUGCCCUGCCUAGGCUACCCACUUUACUAAUUUAUAAGUGAGCGACCUACUAAUAAAACUUAACUCAUGAUUGUGUUGCAACAACAAUGUAGCGGCUAUUUCGUUAGUUCCCUUCAAUAUGUGAAAUUGACAGACUAGCAGCUACUCAAAUUUGGCUUUGGAGAUAUUCGAAAGCUUCGCGUCUCAUCUGGUCCACUUUCAUGCGCGGCCAUGAUUUAUUUCUGCGACUGCCACAGUUAGGAAGGCGAACCGUGGGAACGCCAGGCGGGUGCACUUCCCAAAACAUCGACGCACAGCAGCGAGUCCGACAUGCGCCCCACAGACAAAGACGAAACAUUCAGAAACCCCCAAGUAUGACCAAGAUGCAGAAUGUGACGUGUGCGCGCCAAGCGACAGCUUACAAUCGCGUGAUCUACAAGAAAUAAUAAAACGGCAAUAAAAGAAACACGAGACGGCGCGAGCGAACGGCUCGCGAGCGAGCGAGAGGGAAACAAGUGGUGAAGGUGUGCGCGCGCGCUCGAGUUACCGCAUUUGAAUUUUCAAAGAUCAAUGAUCGAUGCGAUAAGAGGGACGCGCGCUCAAAUAAGGUGGUGAGAGAGAUAGAUGCGGCGCGCGCGCGGGUGAAAGGAGACGCGAGAUGGAUUGGCUCGUGGCAGUUUCAGGGCACGCUUCGGCAGUUGUUUCUUCGAUGUUUGUAGAGAUGGCGCUGUCGGCUAAACUAUAGCUCUACUUUUGCACAGAUUUGUUGCGACAUUGAUAUUUGGAUAUGGUUUCUUUAGCAAGGCAACCGUUUAUAAAAAUAGAAAUAUAAUUCGAUUAAAGCAUUUGAAAUAGGUAUACAAAAUUUUGAAUCCCAUUAUCUUCCCGCUAUAACACAUUUUUUUGUAACACUUUUUUUUAAAUCAAACAAAAAUAGAAAUAAAAACGACUUUCCGUAUUUCCAAAAUUUUAGGACUUAUGAACUUAAUGUAAAAGGGGCUUUUUAGCGACGCUAGCGCCCGUGGUUGAUUUUGAUAGCAUUUUAGUUCAUCGCCACCCUUCUAGAUGGCGCUGAAAACACAGCUUUGGCAGCGAUUUUGAUAUCCCAGCUUGUGUUAAGUAAAAUUCAUAAUUUCGUAGAAGUUUGACGUUUAAAAUAACCCUGAUCCUGAUUUGGCAGCCCUAUUAGGGCUGCCAAAAUGGCUGCCAACUUAUGUUUGUCUGACUCUAGUAUUGAUUUUUUCCAGAGUAUGAAUGAGUAAAUUAAAGUUUUAUCUUACUUAUGUUAUUUUUCUGAUUAUGAAUGUGAUAUAAGUAUAGUUGGCGUUGAUUGACCGGUUGGCCCAGUUAUUCUGUAGGUAAUCAGAUAUUUAUUUUGCCAUUAUUAGGCAUCAUAAAAAAACAUAUUAUUAUUUGACAGAACCGUGAGGGAUGUGUUUUACUUUGAUGAUCUUUGACACGAUAAUUUUGAAUAAUGAUGUAAGUAAUUAGUCGGAAUUAAAAAAAAAUUUAGGACUAUUUAGAUGGUGCAAGAAAUCGCAUGCGAGUUUCAUUACAUUGCGAUAUUAGUACUAGUGCUACACCAAAAAAAUCUGCAAACGAUGUUAAAAGCAUGAAAAUCAGAACGAUUGAUCUUUAGGCCAUAUGAAUCAAUUUAACCCGUGACAUGUGAAUCAAUUUAAUUGAUAGAUCAUACUUUGUAAUAACGAAAAAGUGGAAAGAAACACUAAAUGUAAGUAUUGUCAAAAUUGCUUUCUUGGGGUUAGAUAUGAGGAUAGUAGGUAUCAUUUUAGGUAUAUUUCACAAAAAAUGAUUCAAUGGUAUCGUAUCUGAAGAAGCCCAAACUUAGUAUGUUUUGAAAAUUAUUUUAAUUAGAACAAGUGACUGAAAUGUAAUGAUGUGAUAUAUUUUAAAAACCGGCCCAGAAACCCCUUUCAUUGAAUACCACACACGAUAGAUUUUAGAUUUUUUUUUUCAUAUAAAAAAACA